AGCUCCAAUAGCGUAUAUUAAAGUUGUUGCAGUUAAAAAGCUCGUAGUUGGAUCUCGGGUCCAGGCUGGCGGUCCGACGCCUGUCGGUUACUGCCUGCUCCUGACCUACCUCCCGGUUUUUUCGCCCUUGGUGCUCUUGACUGAGUGUCUCGGGUGGCCGGAACGUUUACUUUGAAAAAAUUAGAGUGUUCAAAGCAGGCAAUAUCGCCUGAAUAAUGGUGCAUGGAAUAAUGGAAUAGGACCUCGGUUCUAUUUUGCUGGUUUUCGGAGCUCGAGGUAAUGAUUAAGAGGGACUGACGGGGGCAUUCGUAUUACGGUGUUAGAGGUGAAAUUCUUGGAUCGCCGUAAGACGAACUACUGCGAAAGCAUUUGCCAAGCAUGUUUUCAUU
RNAcentral lists this ribosomal RNA (389 nucleotides) under Mytilus sp. RNAcentral's name for it is "partial small subunit ribosomal RNA". It matches the Rfam family "Eukaryotic small subunit ribosomal RNA", at positions 587 to 974 of the family's 1831-position model. The record is from RNAcentral. Lineage: Eukaryota; Metazoa; Mollusca; Bivalvia; Mytilida; Mytilidae.